Molecule: long non-coding RNA, 1497 nt
Organism: Choloepus didactylus (southern two-toed sloth)
Lineage: Eukaryota; Metazoa; Chordata; Mammalia; Pilosa; Megalonychidae
Exons: 4
Source: RefSeq, a predicted model, not a curated record
GCCAGGGCCUGGGUGGCGUUGAGACGCUGAGGGAGAAGUUUCUCCCUCACAGGGCGGCCGCGGUGGACGCAGGAGGGCGACAGUGACUGUAGCUCUCAAACGUGAUCUUCCGUUCCGCGGCCUCCCCUCAGCUGGCGGGAGCGGGUCGCUGGCUCGACCAGCGGCGCAGACGGUCCCCCCGAGGCGCGGCGGCGCUACGCGGAUCGGCGUUGGCCCUGUGGCGCCUCGUCGCGAGGGCGGGAAUGCUCUUGCAGCGCGCGCCCGCGGAUCCCAGAUAAAGUUUUAAUUGCAUUAUUUUAUUUUCAAUCAGUGAAAACCAACUUGUAGAGAUUUUGCCGUUCUAAUAAAUAAUGCAUUAAAAUUUCAGAGAGAUGGUUUCAAAUUAAUAUUAUGCUGAUGUCACAUGCCCUGGAAAAUUUUGCAUACAAUUGGAAUUAAGUGUUCCUUGAAGGUUUGGAACAUUCACCUUCGAAGGCAUCUGGAUUUGUCCAUAAUUUGUGGAAACAGUCUGAAGGAGAUGAAAUUACUUGCUGAAGAUAACAUGUUGGUAAAUGACUGUGACAGGCUGUGAAGAAUCCAGAUGUGUCUGCUGCCUGAGUCUGCAGUUGUUCACAGGAGUGUUUGGGUCAAAGUUUCAUCAGGAAACAGAUGGCACAUUCAAAUUGGGUACUUUGGGGACCGUCCCUUGAAAACAUCCCACACAGGAGCCUUGAAUUUACCUCACUUCUACUGACUGUAUGUUGACUCCUCAAAUGACCUUGGCCUUCAGCUGUUGAAGAAUGCAAAUGCUGUUGGCUUCAUUCCUGAACAAUAUGUGGAGCACCCCUCCCCACCUCCAGUUGGAUUUUAUGUAAGUGAGACUUAAACAUCUAUGAUGUUCAGCCACUGAGAUUUGGGUUUUUGAUUGCUAUAGCAGUUAACUGCACAUAUACUCCUCUAUCUCAGAGCAGUUGAAUCAGGUAGUCACACACUGACAAUUCCUUUAAAAGGCAAUUUGCAUUUCUGAGCAUUUGUUUUCAGUGUGUCUGAUCAUUCUCAGUCCCCUGUUCUUUCAGUGUUCAGUAGCUCAGGGCAUCUCAUGUUUUCCCAAAAUACCAAUAAUAACGAGGGAGAAUGACUUCUACCACCAAAAACCUCUGUGAUUUCCUGAAGCUGCCCAUGACUUUUAUUCAAAGUGAUGGUUUGUCUCAGAGUUCAUGCUGGGCUCUCGGAAGCUGCCCCCAAUGAAGAUUAUCCACUCUCCCACUCUAGUUUCUCUGUCCCUCUCCUGAGCCAAAGACUGCUGUGGUUAAUGGGGAUCUGGGUGCAAUGGGGACUUUGGACUCUCGUGGAAGAACUUGGGGAAAGUUGACCUAAGUUCUAUAUGGGUGUCCCUGAUAUCCCCUGGGAUACAGCAAAGAACAAAAUAAUAUGAAAUCCCCCCUUAAAUGGCAUUGCUAUUCUAAUGGGAAAAACAGACAACAUGCAAAUAGAUAAAUAAAAUAAAUACUCUGAAUG